This 253-nucleotide ribosomal RNA is filed under the name uncultured bacterium. Its description in RNAcentral is "partial 16S ribosomal RNA". It matches the Rfam family "Bacterial small subunit ribosomal RNA", at positions 524 to 776 of the family's 1533-position model. The record is from RNAcentral.
UACGUAGGGUGCAAGCAUUAAUCGGAUUUAUUGGGCGUAAAGGGCGCGUAGGUGGAAAGGCAAGUCAACUGUGAAAUCCCGGGGCUCAACCCCGGAACAGCAUUUGAAACUACAUUUCUAGAGGGUAGGCGGAGAAAACGGAAUUCCACAAGUAGCGGUGAAAUGCGUAGAUAUGUGGAAGAACACCAGUGGCGAAGGCGGUUUUCUAGCUUAUACCUGACGCUGAGGCGCGAAAGCAAGGGGAGCAAACAGG